GCUCUUGAAAGAUAAUAGUAA
RNAcentral lists this transfer RNA (21 nucleotides) under Prionace glauca (blue shark). RNAcentral's name for it is "partial tRNA-Leu". Lineage: Eukaryota; Metazoa; Chordata; Chondrichthyes; Carcharhiniformes; Carcharhinidae. The record is from RNAcentral.